This 392-nucleotide ribosomal RNA is filed under the name uncultured bacterium. RNAcentral's name for it is "bacterial SSU rRNA". It matches the Rfam family "Bacterial small subunit ribosomal RNA", at positions 29 to 412 of the family's 1533-position model. The record is from RNAcentral.
AAUGAACGCUGGCGGCGCGCCUAAUACAUGCAAGUCGAGCGAGAAGACGUAGCAAUACGUUUGUAAAGCGGCGAACGGGUGAGGAAUACAUGGGUAACCUACCCUCGAGUGGGGAAUAACUAGCCGAAAGGUUAGCUAAUACCGCGUACGCUUCUUGGACUUCGGUUCAGGGAGGAAAGCGAUGCCGAGGGUAUCGCGCUCUUGGAUGGGCUCAUGUCCUAUCAGCUUGNGGUGAGGUAACGGCUCACCAAGGCUUCGACGGGUAGCUGGUCUGAGAGGACGAUCAGCCACACUGGCACUGCGACACGGGCCAGACUCCUACGGGAGGCAGCAGUAAGGAAUAUUGCGCAAUGGGCGAAAGCCUGACGCAGCGACGCCGCGUGGGGGAUGAA